GGGCCCGCACAAGCGGUGGAGUAUGUGGUUUAAUUCGAUGCAACGCGAAGAACCUUACCAGGGUUUGACAUCCUGCGAAUCUCUUGGAAACGAGAGAGUGCCUUCGGGAACGCAGUGACAGGUGGUGCAUGGCUGUCGUCAGCUCGUGUCGUGAGAUGUUGGGUUAAGUCCCGCAACGAGCGCAACCCACGUCUUUAGUUGCCAGCAUUUAGUUGGGCACUCUAGAGAGACUGCCGGUGAUAAACCGGAGGAAGGUGUGGAUGACGUCAAGUCAUCAUGCCCCUUACAUCCUGGGCUACACACGUACUACAAUGCUACGGACAAAGGGCAGCAAACUCGCGAGAGCUAGCAAAUCCCAUAAACCGUGGCUCAGUUCAGAUCGUAGGCUGCAACUCGCCUACGUGAAGGAGGAAUCGCUAG
This 420-nucleotide ribosomal RNA is filed under the name uncultured bacterium. RNAcentral describes it as "bacterial SSU rRNA". It matches the Rfam family "Bacterial small subunit ribosomal RNA", at positions 917 to 1338 of the family's 1533-position model. The record is from RNAcentral.